AUUGAACGCUGGCGGAAUGCUUUACACAUGCAAGUCGAACGGCAGCACGGGGCAACCUGGUGGCGAGUGGCGAACGGGUGAGUAAUACAUCGGAACGUGCCCAAUCGUGGGGGAUAACGUAGCGAAAGUUACGCUAAUACCGCAUACGAUCUACGGAUGAAAGCGGGGGAUCGCAAGACCUCGCGCGAGUGGAGCGGCCGAUGUCAGAUUAGGUAGUUGGUGGGGUAAAGGCUCACCAAGCCAACGAUCUGUAGCUGGUCUGAGAGGACGACCAGCCACACUGGAACUGAGACACGGUCCAGACUCCUACGGGAGGCAGCAGUGGGGAAUUUUGGACAAUGGGCGCAAGCCUGAUCCAGCCAUUCCGCGUGCAGGAUGAAGGCCUUCGGGUUGUAACUGCUUUGUACGGAACGAACGGCGAGCUCUAAUACAGUUUGCUAAUGACGGUACCGUAAGAAUAAGCACCGGCUACUACGUGCCAGCAGCCGCGGUAACG
RNAcentral lists this ribosomal RNA (496 nucleotides) under uncultured bacterium. RNAcentral's name for it is "bacterial SSU rRNA". It matches the Rfam family "Bacterial small subunit ribosomal RNA", at positions 30 to 525 of the family's 1533-position model. The record is from RNAcentral.